This 60-nucleotide transfer RNA is filed under the name Grandidierella taihuensis. Its description in RNAcentral is "tRNA-Arg". The record is from RNAcentral. Lineage: Eukaryota; Metazoa; Arthropoda; Malacostraca; Amphipoda; Corophiidae.
UAAACAGAAGUAUAAUAAUACAUUCGACUUCGAAUCGAAAAAAGGCCUAGCCCUGUUUAA